Molecule: ribosomal RNA, 86 nt
Filed under: Escherichia coli
Lineage: Bacteria; Pseudomonadati; Pseudomonadota; Gammaproteobacteria; Enterobacterales; Enterobacteriaceae
Also listed under: 13 other names
Source: RNAcentral
GACCCCAUGCCGAACUCAGAAGUGAAACGCCGUAGCGCCGAUGGUAGUGUGGGGUCUCCCCAUGCGAGAGUAGGGAACUGCCAGAC